UACGAAGGGGGCUAGCGUUGCUCGGAAUGACUGGGCGUAAAGGGCGCGUAGGCGGCUCAUACAGUCAGAUGUGAAAUUCCUGGGCUUAACCUGGGGGCUGCAUUUGAUACGUGUGGGCUUGAGUGGGGAAGAGGGUCGUGGAAUUCCCGGUGUAGCGGUGAAAUGCGUAGAUAUCGGGAGGAACAUCAGUGGCGAAGGCGGCUGCCUGGCCCAAUACUGACACUCAGGUGCGACAGCGUGGGGAGCAAACAGG
RNAcentral lists this ribosomal RNA (253 nucleotides) under uncultured bacterium. Its description in RNAcentral is "partial 16S ribosomal RNA". It matches the Rfam family "Bacterial small subunit ribosomal RNA", at positions 524 to 776 of the family's 1533-position model. The record is from RNAcentral.